GUCGUGGCUACUUAUGGGCUGCUGGAUGAUUUUAUUACAGCCGUCAUAGAGGUCAUCCCUGAGCUUCUGAGCCGCAGACAGAGGUGUUUAUUGAGCCUCGGUCUUCAGGCUCAGCUGACACUGGAGCUGUGUCGCACUGAGCAGAUGUAAAACCUUGAGAUCAUCCAGCCUCAACUGGAGAAAAUCACCUCACUGUGGAACACAGAGAUAAAUCCUUCAGGAGAUGGACUGUCUGUGUCACACCUCCUCCAUCUUUUUCACAACCUUAUUCAAGACGUCGAGAAGAGACGCCUCUUCUUCCAGGAUAUUUUCUCCGAGAGAUUUGGAGACAAGUACUGUGAAGACUUACAGAUGCUUGUGGAGAUGUUCCUCAUACAGCUUGACAAGUUACUCACAGUACCAGACAUCAAAGAGGUAUAGUUUCAACCUGGUUCAGGUUACUUUAGGUUCAGGUUCAGGUUACUUUACUUGUACAAGUUGGUUAACUUGUUUCGCAGCCAGUUAGAUAUCAGAUCAUGACACACAGAAUAACAAAACAAAUGUAACAUGAACAAACAAUU
Notolabrus celidotus (New Zealand spotty) is the source of this 560-nucleotide long non-coding RNA. RefSeq lists it as uncharacterized. NCBI's taxonomy places the organism in Eukaryota, Metazoa, Chordata, Actinopteri, Labriformes, Labridae. The transcript is spliced from 4 exons. The record is from RefSeq and is a predicted model, not a curated record.